AGGCGCGUAGCUCAGUGGUUAGAGCGCUACCUUGACACGGUAGAGGUCAGGGGUUCGAUGCCCCUCGUGCCUA
RNAcentral lists this transfer RNA (73 nucleotides) under Nitrospirota bacterium. RNAcentral's name for it is "Nitrospirae bacterium (sediment metagenome) tRNA-Val". It matches the Rfam family "tRNA". Rfam says of the family: Transfer RNA (tRNA) molecules are approximately 80 nucleotides in length. The record is from RNAcentral. Lineage: Bacteria; Pseudomonadati; Nitrospirota.